RNAcentral lists this ribosomal RNA (463 nucleotides) under uncultured bacterium. RNAcentral's name for it is "partial 16S ribosomal RNA". It matches the Rfam family "Bacterial small subunit ribosomal RNA", at positions 28 to 507 of the family's 1533-position model. The record is from RNAcentral.
GACGAACGCUGGCGGCGUGCUUAACACAUGCAAGUCGAACGGUGAACCCCUUCGUUUGGGGUCAGCUCGGGACGCGAGAGUAACACGAAGGCAACCUUCCCCUGGCCCUGGGUUAACUCUAAGUUCAUGGGACUAAUACCGGAUGUUCACCGCUUCCCGCACUGCAUGGGGUGAGAUGGAUUGCCGGCUGGGGAUGGGCUCGCGGCUUAUCAGCUUGUUGGUGGGGUAGUGGCUUACCAAGGCUAUGACGGGUAGCCGGCCUGAGAGGGUGACCGGCCACAUUGGGACUGAGAUACGGCCCAGACUCCUACGGGAGGCAGCAGUGGGGAAUAUUGCACAAUGGGCGGAAGCCUGAUGCAGCAACGCCGCGUGGGGGAUGACGGCCUUCGGGUUGUAAACCGCUUUCGGCUGUGACGAAGCGUGAGUGACGGUAACGGGUAAAGAAGCACCGGCCAACUACGUG